UGGGGAAUAUUGGACAAUGGGGGCAACCCUGAUCCAGCCAUGCCGCGUGUGUGAAGAAGGCCUUUUGGUUGUAAAGCACUUUAAGCAGGGAGGAGAGGCUAAUGGUUAAUACCCAUUAGAUUAGACGUUACCUGCAGAAUAAGCACCGGCUAACUCUGUGCCAGCAGCCGCGGUAAUACAGAGGGUGCGAGCGUUAAUCGGAAUUACUGGGCGUAAAGCGAGUGUAGGUGGCUCAUUAAGUCACAUGUGAAAUCCCCGGGCUUAACCUGGGAACUGCAUGUGAUACUGGUGGUGCUAGAAUAUGUGAGAGGGAAGUAGAAUUCCAGGUGUAGCGGUGAAAUGCGUAGAGAUCUGGAGGAAUACCGAUGGCGAAGGCAGCUUCCUGGCAUAAUAUUGACACUGAGAUUCGAAAGCGUGGGUAGCAAACA
Molecule: ribosomal RNA, 428 nt
Filed under: uncultured bacterium
Lineage: Bacteria
Also listed under: 3 other names
Description: bacterial SSU rRNA
Rfam family: Bacterial small subunit ribosomal RNA
Source: RNAcentral